RNAcentral lists this long non-coding RNA (623 nucleotides) under Junco hyemalis (dark-eyed junco). RNAcentral's name for it is "lncRNA (ENSJHYG00000005662.1)". Lineage: Eukaryota; Metazoa; Chordata; Aves; Passeriformes; Passerellidae. The record is from RNAcentral.
AUGAUUUUCCAGAAGUUCUCCUCGCGGCUGCCAAAUCUCAUUUCUGUUGGCUUUGGGUUUCUAGGGAGUGGGUCUGAGCCAUCCCAGCUGAGAAAGAAAGUCCUUUUCAGCAGAGCAUGCUGUCGGGAUGCUGAUGACUUUGGCUGCAAGGCAGCUUUGAUCAGGACCUCUACACUGGAUGAAGAACUCUGUCUCCACCGAAAACAAAAGAAGGUUCUGUCGCAAGACAAAUUGAAUCAAAUUCUCCAGGAGUUUUCCAGUUCAAUUAAGCUGUGGGAUAGUCCCUAUCUUAGGUGCAAAUCUCUCUGUGCAUUACAGGACCACAGACAGGGAUGUGGCAAAAGAUGAUUAAAUGAAGAUACCUUCAAGUGACCUGGUUUUGAUAGAUGAUAUUAAACCAAGCCUGAAAAUCAGACUCUCCUUGUGGUGGAAAACCUGAGGGAUCAACUAACAAUGAGAUUUCUGCUGUCUUGGUGAUGAACUGUCCUAAGAACUGCAGUUUCAGAGAAUAUGAAGUGACCUUUGAAAACUUCACUGAAAGUUGAUCCAGAUGUUUAAUCUGACCAAGCUGGUUCAUCUCUACAGAUAAAUAAAUUCUCAUUUUUGUUGAAAGUGAAAAUGCA